AUAUCCUCUUUUGCCGCACCCUUAGGGUGCGUCUGGUUCGCGCUAUCUUUUUAAGAUUCCUAGUAAUCCAAUAGGAAUAGAAAAAUAUGACGGUAUUUGGCUAAACGCACUAAAUAAUCUAGUUGGUAAUAUUAGAUUUACUUGGGAAUGAGAUUCAUCCCAAAGUACUAAUCUCAUUCUCUUGAGGGAGGGUGGUUAUUCUCAUAUUAAUGAAUUGGGGUAAUCAUAAUAUGUCUAAUCUCUUUCUUUCUCCCUACCCGCCGGCUAGUUGGUAUUAUUUUUCUUUACACUCUAACUUCAUAUCUCUCUCUAAACUUAUUUUUUUCUCUCUAAACUUCAACUCUUUUUCUCUCUCUAAACUAAGCUCUCUCUCCCUCUUUUUCUAAAAUCUCAACUCUCUCGCUCCCUCUAAUCUCGACUCUAUUUCUCUUCCUAUUUCUUUAAUUAUGUUCUCUCUCUAACCUAUGUUCUCUCUCUCUCUUUUUCUAAAAAGGUGUUGAAAUUUUUGGUGGCAUUAUUUAAAAUUAAUUAAAAAAAUAAAUAAAUCAAUUGUAUAUUUUUUGUAAACUUAAAUAACAUGACUAAAUAAUAUAACCGUGCGAACCAAACACAGGAAUGCCACAUUCUUAGUAAUAGGAUGAAUAGGAAUAAGAUUCUCGGACAUCUUUUUAUUGCUAGUAAUCUUUCAUAGUGCGAACCAAACGCACCCUUAGGGUUCUUCUUUGCCUUUUAACGACUAUCCAUAAUGACCGACUGUCCCUAGCGCAACUAGCAAAGGACUUGGUGGUUGGUAUCUAAGAUUAUAAGUUCGAAUUCUAGUUGAUUCAUAUUUUCAACCAAGUUCAUUUCUAAAAUGAAAUAAACGAAACGGAUAACAUACUACCUAUCUCUCUCUCUCUCUCUCAAAAAAAAAAAAAAACAACUAUCCAUGUAUCCAUAAAUAAAUGUUCUAUAU
RNAcentral lists this long non-coding RNA (955 nucleotides) under Ananas comosus (pineapple). RNAcentral describes it as "long non-coding RNA (ACOM_LNC032400)". Lineage: Eukaryota; Viridiplantae; Streptophyta; Magnoliopsida; Poales; Bromeliaceae. The record is from RNAcentral.